AGUAGAAUCAGCUAAAAAAGCUUUUGGGCCCAUACCCCAAAAAUGCGGGUCAAAACCCCCCUUCUACUA
RNAcentral lists this transfer RNA (69 nucleotides) under Phelsuma laticauda (broad-tailed day gecko). RNAcentral describes it as "tRNA-Met". It matches the Rfam family "tRNA". Rfam says of the family: Transfer RNA (tRNA) molecules are approximately 80 nucleotides in length. Their secondary structure includes four short double-helical elements and three loops (D, anti-codon, and T loops). Lineage: Eukaryota; Metazoa; Chordata; Lepidosauria; Squamata; Gekkonidae. The record is from RNAcentral.